Nemania sp. FL0916 is the source of this 151-nucleotide non-coding RNA. The record is from the annotation of a GenBank genome assembly. NCBI's taxonomy places the organism in Eukaryota, Fungi, Ascomycota, Sordariomycetes, Xylariales, Xylariaceae.
GGUUGGUUAGCUCAGUUGGUUAGAGCGUCGUAUGUCACCUCCAGUUCAAAUCUUCUCAACUUCACCGUCACUAACCAACCACAGGUACUAAUACAGAAUUCUGCUGUAUCAAGUAAUGCGAAGGUCAUGAGUUCGACCCUCAUACUGACCA